CUGAUCACGAGCACCUGUUUUGGACUUCACACCAGCAAGAAGUAAAUAUUCAUAGUGUUUGAACCAUGAUACAGUUUGCUCUGAGUAGCCUCCCUAACUGAUCUAGGCAUAAUGCCUAGAACGCUAGGCAACACUGAGCGUUUCCCAAAGUGUAUUCUGCGGAACUAGCACCUACUGUGUUCUCAACACCGUGCCACCUCUAGAAGAUGAUCAUGGGAACAGCAAUAGUAGUCAUGUAAAAAUCU
Molecule: long non-coding RNA, 245 nt
Organism: Ailuropoda melanoleuca (giant panda)
Lineage: Eukaryota; Metazoa; Chordata; Mammalia; Carnivora; Ursidae
Exons: 3
Source: RefSeq, a predicted model, not a curated record